GACGAACGCUGGCGGCGUGCCUAAUACAUGCAAGUAGAACGCUGAAGCGAGGAGCUUGCUCUUCUUGGAUGAGUUGCGAACGGGUGAGUAACGCGUAGGUAACCUGCCUUGUAGCGGGGGAUAACUAUUGGAAACGAUAGCUAAUACCGCAUAACAAUGGAUGACACAUGUCAUUUAUUUGAAAGGGGCAAUUGCUCCACUACAAGAUGGACCUGCGUUGUAUUAGCUAGUAGGUGAGGUAAUGGCUCACCUAGGCGACGAUACAUAGCCGACCUGAGAGGGUGAUCGGCCAUACUGGGACUGAGACACGGCCCAGACUCCUACGGGAGGCAGCAGUAGGGAAUCUUCGGCAAUGGGGGCAACCCUGACCGAGCAACGCCGCGUGAGUGAAGAAGGUUUUCGGAUCGUAAAGCUCUGUUGUAAGUCAAGAACGGGUGUGAGAGUGGAAAGUUCACACUGUGACGGUAGCUUACCAGAAAGGGACGGCUAACUACGUG
RNAcentral lists this ribosomal RNA (497 nucleotides) under uncultured bacterium. RNAcentral describes it as "partial 16S ribosomal RNA". It matches the Rfam family "Bacterial small subunit ribosomal RNA", at positions 28 to 507 of the family's 1533-position model. The record is from RNAcentral.